CCAAAAUAUAAUUAGAGUUAUGUAUUUUGUCUAAAGCAUCGACUGAAUUAUGAAAGAUGGUUAUCCUAUCAUAAUAGACUAGAAAAUUGAUAAUACUCCUUCUAGUAGGUCCGGACCAACCAUCACACAUCAAUGUCACUCCAUAAGUGUUCCACUCUCUUUUAUAACUUUCAAUCCAAGAUUUAAUAUUUGCAACUUGCUGUUGCAAAUAUAGUCCAUGUAUCUCAUAGGAUGUAGGAGGAUC
RNAcentral lists this long non-coding RNA (244 nucleotides) under Elaeis guineensis (African oil palm). Its description in RNAcentral is "long non-coding RNA (EGUI_LNC017748)". Lineage: Eukaryota; Viridiplantae; Streptophyta; Magnoliopsida; Arecales; Arecaceae. The record is from RNAcentral.